GUCCUUUAGAAUUAAAUUUAAGGUUUGACCUGCCCACUGAAAUAUUUAAAUGGCCGCAGUAUUCUAACUGUGCAAAGGUAGCAUAAUCAUUAGUCUUUUAAUUGAAGGCUUGUAUGAAUGGUUGGACGAGAUAUUAACUGUUUCAUAUAAAUUUAUAAUAGAAUUUUAUUUUUUAGUCAAAAAGCUAAAAUUAAUUUAAAAGACGAGAAGACCCUAUAGAUCUUAAUAAUUUUUAAAUUUUAACUAUAAAGAUUAUUUAGGUUAUAAUUAUAUAAAUUAUUUUAUUGGGGUGAUAUUAAAAUUUAUAAAACUUUUAAUGAUUAAUAUACAUUAAUUUAUGAAUAAUUGAUCCAUUAUUAGUGAUUAAAAAUUUAAGUUACCUUAGGGAUAACAGCGUAAUUUUUUUGGAGAGUUCAUAUCGAUAAAAAAGAUUGCGACCUCGAUGUUGAAUUAAGAUAUAGUUUUGGGCGCAGCAGUUCAAUUUUAAAGUCUGUUCGACUUUUAGAUUCUU
RNAcentral lists this ribosomal RNA (511 nucleotides) under Empis bicuspidata. RNAcentral's name for it is "partial 16S ribosomal RNA". It matches the Rfam family "Bacterial large subunit ribosomal RNA", at positions 1825 to 2597 of the family's 2925-position model. Lineage: Eukaryota; Metazoa; Arthropoda; Insecta; Diptera; Empididae. The record is from RNAcentral.